AGAACCUUCGAUUAAGGUUCGACUCGAGCGAAAGAACGUUGCCAACGGUAACGGCCCGUAGGGUGAGGAGUGAAGCGACGAAUA
Molecule: small RNA, 84 nt
Filed under: Salmonella enterica subsp. enterica serovar Typhimurium str. 86-0368
Lineage: Bacteria; Pseudomonadati; Pseudomonadota; Gammaproteobacteria; Enterobacterales; Enterobacteriaceae
Description: RtT RNA
Rfam family: RtT RNA
About the family: This family represents a bacterial cis-regulatory element known as RtT RNA. The exact function of RtT is unknown although it is thought that it may be involved in changing the cellular response in relation to amino acid starvation.
Source: RNAcentral